Osmia lignaria (orchard mason bee) is the source of this 9216-nucleotide non-coding RNA. The record is from RefSeq and is a predicted model, not a curated record. Lineage: Eukaryota; Metazoa; Arthropoda; Insecta; Hymenoptera; Megachilidae.
UUUUUUUUUUUUGUAUUAUUUAUACUAUGACGUGAAGGGGUAUAAAAGGGAAUAGAAAAGGAAACGGGACUUACAUAUGAGCAGCGUGGUAUCCAGAGUGGAAUUGUUGAUGUCCUCAGGACCUCCUCUUAUAAAUCUAUUCACAGAACGAGACACUGUUCACCCGUGGAUCCGUUUCCUUCUCGUCGAUUAUUACAAGAUCACUUUGUACAAGAUUCACCUAUCACGGCGGAACACCGAGGGAAUGGUGUAAAAGAGCCGAAGAGAAAUGUAUUCCUUUUGAAAAAUAGGAAGAAAGAAAAAAAAAAGGAAACGACGAAAGGUGGAGGGGUCACAAGAUCACCGAAUAAGUUCUGUCUAUCGAUACACGCACUGAUAGAUCGAUCGAGAAAACCGGAAGCCAAGAUAGGACCACGAAACUUUCACUGCGGUCUUCCUUUUCUUCUGUUUCUCGAGUAUCCGAGCGCGUUCUGCCUCGCUUCCGGUCCUGGCGUCCUUCCACGACCGAUCUCGCGUCGCGACGGACGAAUUUCAGCGUCGAUCAGGAAGUGGAAUUGCCGUGGAACAGGGUCCUUGACCUUGUCCCCAGUGUCCUCCGUUGCCACCGCGAACACUGUCGAUCGUUCAUCAGCCUCCCGGUACACUUCAUCGGCUACUCCUGUCCACCUUUCCUUACUUAUUCUUUUGUUUUUUUUUUUUUUGUUUUUAUUAUUUUACGAUCUCGUCCGCUAGCCGAAUCGCGAGCAAUAUCGUGUGUACACAGUGUUGGCUCACCGACGCUUUCCGCCGGUCACGAUCACUUGUCGCGAGAAAAUUUCGUCCAACGAGGACGUCGAACGCUUCUUCCGGUUCCGAACACCACUCUUCGUAGACUUGUUCGUAGACGUUCCGGUUGAUAAGGUCGAAGUCGUGUGGACGGAUAGGAAGAAAGAAUGAUAGACAAAGAGAGAGAGAAAGAGAGAGAGAUAGGUAAAGGAGAGUGAAAGAAGGGAGAGAGAGGGAGUGAGACGGGGAGGUAGAGAGACAGAGAGAGGAAGAGAGAGAAAGAGAGAAAGAAAGAGAGGAGGGAGGCCUUGUCGAUCGUAGGAAUAAGAGAGAGGCCUCGCUCGCCUGGCGCCGGACGAGAUGCGACUAAUUCCUAAAAGUAGGCGAGGAAGAAACGAACUGGAUGGCCUGUGGGCCCUUACUGCGAGGGGUCUUACGCGGUACCGACCGACAGGGGCCCCUACUUCGACAGGCCUCCUUGCGUACCGAGCCGGGGGUACCGUGGACCCCCCACCUUCAACUAACUCCUACCCCCAGAUUCUCAUUCUCCUCCUCCACCUCCUCCUCCUCCACCUCUUUCUCCUCUCACUGCUCUUCUUCCAUCACCUGCACGCUAUUUCGUGGAUCCUCUAUCGACGGUUAUUAACCCUCCACCAACCAGCAUCGGGUCAAUUUUGACCCGGCAUUAUAUUGGCCGAACCGUAACCGGUGGUGGUGCCAAAUUCAAUUACGAUUCUUUCGAUAUUAAGACUCGGGUUAUGAUUAAUGAAUGUAAAGUAGACGCGUUUAACGAACUUGUUGCAUUAUAGAAAUACUAUAAAGAUUUAAACAGUGAUAGAGAUGAGGGUUUAACGUGAAUUGGUCAACGAGGAAUUCGCGUUUACUACGGCUCGUCGGUGCACGAGUUUUGAAUUUAAUUGGAGACCCGAAUUUUGCAAUAUUUUUUUUUUUUACCUUCACCUGGCCACAUCCACAGAGAAACACACACGCAACUGCCCGCAAACGAACGGGCAGGGAAACAAGUAAAAGCGCAUGCACGCGUACCCUUUCGUACGCUUCUUCAGUUGGGACGAUAUAUUUUUAUAUCGAGUUAAAAAUUACAUCAGAAAUUCGGAUUACAGGGGAAGGAAAAAUUUUUUGCACGCAACUCGAAAUUACGCCAAAGUCCAUCCGUUUCUUAAAGGCAGUAAAAUGUACAACCAGGUAUGCGAAUGUCGAUGGUGUAAAAAAAAAAAAACUGUAACCCUUGAACGGAAAACCCUUUUACAGUUACCCUACAAAUCCGUGACAAUCGUGUCCGUUUUCGGGCAGAUGAAAAACGGGACUUUCGGGAAUGUUGAAGAAAAAAUACAGGUUACCGCUAGUUUGCAAAAUACAGUAAACCGACCUAUCGACACGGUCCUCGACGAUAGAACUCCAGGUGACGAAAGGAUCUUGGGUCAACAAAUUUUUUUUCUCCCGAAGUUAAAACCUAAUCCCGCCGUUUACCCGGUACAAUACGUCACUUUACGACGCGACGGUCGGUUGCCGAAAAAUAUGCGUACAUUUUUGAAAGUAUCCCUGUUAACGCAUUCGCGAUUCUCCGUUGCCAUGAUCCUCCUCGAAUCGAACUUUUAAUUAGCCACGGUGAUUGCAAUACGGCCGAGGCACCGCAUAACAGUCGCACUCGCCACGGAUCGCAGCGAUUUGCGUCAUAAUAAUUGUUGUAUAACUUUCGAUUAAUUAGGCGUCGAAGCGGACCGUCGCCGCCCCCCAAACGGUUGGCAACCGUCGGUGAGGGCAUUUUUCUUUGACGCAAUGUAACCAGCUACGAUGCUCGUUACAUCGUGGGCCCCUCUUUUUCCCUCGAUUCUAAGGCCCCACUUCGUGGCACAAGUCGGUUACACUUUCGUUGUUGCGACUAGUGGUACCACUCGACCGCGUUCCUCCUUAGCGAAGAUCGCUAACCAGAUCGACCUAAUUGUUUGCAAGUUUAUUUUAAAGUAUGUGAACCGUGAGAGACUUAUCCGAAGAUUCAGUAGCGAUUGAAAUUACAAUGGGAGCCGACGUUUUCUAUCCAUCGAGGAGAUUUUCAUUAACGCCUUGGGAGCGAUCGGUUAUCGAUUAUAUUGAUCUUACGAUUAAAAGAUUCCGAAUGAUGAAUUUCAAUCGCGAAAUAAGAAAUUGUUGUGCGUUUUGAUUUAUUCUAAUGGCAAGGAAGAAGGUUCUCUUCAAGGUCCUGCUUAAAGGAUCGACGCAAGAAUUGUCUCUGAAAAGAGGGCAUAAGUAAGGAUCAAUCGUGAUUGUCUGUAAAAGUCAGGAAAACGGCAGCGCAAGGACGUAUUUAUUGGUAGCAAUAAAAUCGCAAAUUCUAACGGUUCGAAAUGAUGCUCGGAAGGUUGUACCGAUCUCAGGCAACCUUAACCCCCGGUGCCAUAAAUUUUCUACGCUCGGGGUGUCUCGAGGUGGCGCUGUCAAAAUAUUUUGCCACCCUUACGUUCUGGGGGCGUCCCAGCAGUACGCCAACCUUUCUCGACAAUUCAAUGAACGAACACGUAUAAAUACCAAAAUCCUAUUAAUUUAUCUUAUUUUCAAUAUACGAAGAUGUGAAUUAUUAAUUAAAUUUUCUAUUCAUAAUUAGAAACUGGCCCAGAAUGAUGUAAUAAAAGUUCUGCUGUUCAGUAAUUAUUUUUCACGAGACUAAAACAGCUGUUUCUUCGAUGCUUACCUGCAACGUUGGUCGUUGAUGAGAGGACGAAUUUGGGUACAAAGUGGCAAUGGAUGGACACGUGAGCAAUAUGACCCGGAACGUGGCAGGCACCGAGAAGAAACACGUGUGUCAAAGAUUUAUUACGAAUCUUUCAUAAUUUACAAUGGUCACGCGUCGAGAAUGGCACGCGUGACCGGCUGCCUCCAAAUAUUUACCUUCGUUUUGUCUCGUUCUUUGGAAAGGUCUCUCAAAAUAUUGCUCCUCCACAUGUUACGAGGUGCUAACGCAAUUCUUCGUGUUUUCCCGUAACGACCCUUGUUUAAAUAGUGAAGGAAGCGUGCCAUAUUUUAUGAACUUCCCUAAAAGAGGAGGAAUUAGAUCCAACAGUCUUCCUAUUUCUGGGUCAUCGCGUUCCAACUUCCAGAUAAAAAAUCUAUGUUGAACAUAGAUUAUUAUCUUCUGUAACAAUCCACGAAGGAUAGUUUUUAAUUUGAACAAUUCAGUCGGCCUCGUGUCAUUGCUCGUAACAAGGACCCCAUAAGGAAACAAUUACAGAAAUCGAGGCGACUCGGAUGGUCGUUUAAAACGAUUCAACCGACACUUCGCACGCACUUCAAGGUGGAAGGUAAUAAAACUCGUAGAGGUCGAACAAAUCAACGUUGUUUCUUGAUUUGCAAAAAGAAGCUCGCAAUUAGAUGACUUGAAAUGUAAAGAUCGCGAGAUCGCGAAUUAUAAUUGGAAGGAAAAUGCGUUUCCAGACCACCCGGAAGUUUUCCACGUAGACAAGGAGAGGACAAGGAAAAUGUUGAACUGUGAAACUCAGCAAGACUUCCUUUAUUGUUGGUCCAACGACCCGAAAGGAAUCCUCUUCCGGGUGCAGGCCGAAAAAUGGCGGGAAGAAAAGGUGCGUGAAUAAUCGGCCGUCGGCGUCGCGUCGCUCGGCCGCCCGUUGCAAGUAGUACGAGUCUAAAUAUUGCGAGACGCGAUUUCUUACGGUCACAGUUUCCAUGCUACGCGACCUAAAAUAUUUUGCCAUGCGACAUUCGGCACGGUCUUUUCAAUUCUUUCGAAACACCAAACACGAAUUCGCGAUGCCACCGUGGACGUCUAUCACUGCCAUCUCAAUUGUGCUUCUCCUACGAAAGUGGACCAACCCUAAGACUUGGCGAACAAAGAUCUGAACCGUAUAUAAAUUCUUCGUUGACACUAGAUUUUGUUUUCAAGGAACAACACGCAUCGUCAUUUAAUCGCGGCACUUAUGCGUGGAAGAAAGUCGACACCGAUGGACCAUCGAUCGUUACGAGGAGAUAUCAAAAAUUUAUUACGCUAAGAAAGUAGGUUCGCACACGUAGACCGACGCGACGUCUGCGAAACGAUCAUGUGUGAACGGUGCUUUAAGUAAUUGUAUUCUAUGAGCUAGGCGAAGAUUUUCAUUUCUCGGAGGAAUUGAACAGGCGUCUUUUGUUAGAAACUGUAACGUUCGAGGAAGUUCGAAUAAAAUGGUCCAACUUCCGUUUCAGAUGAAUUUCGUUCAGGUAGUUUGAAACAUCUGGUUGUAAAUAAUUCCACGGAGUCUCGAUGACACUUAAAUCUUGUGACGAUUCUUGGCCGACAGGACAGAAGAAGAUUUCGGUUUUCCAGAGUAAACGCGACUGAAAAUUUACGGUGGUUUUGCGAGGAUGAACGGUUUUGUGGCCCUCGAUGUGGCCACUGGACAACCAUUAACUGCCCGGUACCUACACCUGACAGAAUGCAUCUCGAGACCUUGACCAGGGGAUAAUGUGCUUCUUCGAAUAAUGUCAUAAAACGUCGUAAAAAGUACACUUUUGCGUACUUCGCAGAUUACUAUCCCCAAUUUCCUGGGAACAAUUUUUUGGGUAAAAUUUGAAGCUAUCAAUUUUUUCAUAAGAUUAUUUAUCGCGGAUGGAGUAAUUUUUAUUAUUUUCAUUUUUAAAUUUAGAUUCGCUGAUCUUUUCAUUUAAACAAUGCAAAAAGAUUGUACCUAUUAAGCGGGGGAGGGCGAGAAAUGGCAGGGUACCGUUGUAAAACUUGACCGUAGUAAAUCGGCUGAAAACUGUCUGUGGGCCUAGAUGUGGCCACCGAGCAUCCUUUCAUCGGAUUUUACGACAGCCAGGAAGCUGUGCACGUAGCCAAUUGAAUUUUGACCAGUGCCUGCUAAUACAAGGUGCGCCCAGGUCCCAGGUGUCAUAAAUUUCCAAAAUCUAAACCGCUCUUCCCUUUCACAGUCUGCGGUAUUUUUCAAACUCCUAUUCCACAGCGUAAUAAACAAUAUCGCGUAAGUUCCAUCCGAAUUUCACGAAGGGAAAGAAGAACUAAUUUUAGUUAGAUGACAGCUAUUCGUUUGUUCGUUCGUAGGAACCGAUUACCAGAAGUGUGCUAAUUGGAAAAAAGCGAUGAUGUCUCGAUCGGCCUUGCCAAGGACUUGGCUGGCCGUUCUCCGAUUAAAACAGCUGCUCGUAUAUACGUCCGAAUGAAAAAUUCGCGAAGCCCCAUCAGGAGUGCGAUCAGGUCCGCGAGUAAAUCUUCCAAGGACGACGUAUACAAGCGCCUUACCAAGCGGAAACGCGUGUGUACCGGCAUUAAAGGUAUAACGACAUUACCGUACAAUGUUGUUCAAAAGUUUCGAAUACUCCUCUUGUUUUUCAAUUAAUCAGACCUCUUUAAUAAUGCUUACUAUGGUUUCGUUAGAAAAAUAUCGUCAAUGUAUUUUGAAACGUAGAUUCGAAUGGUUCUAUUGAAAAUCAUGUCUAAUUUGUAACUAUUAUAUGCUCGAUACUUUUGAACAGCAGUGUAUAUAGCAGCAUAGUAUAACAUAGGUAAGUGUGUUUGUAGGUCAGUGGUACGAGAGCUGCCCACUACCACCGCCGCCGCCACAAUAAGCCGCCACUGUAGGCUGGCAAAAUUGUACCUACAUUAUACAGAUCGUGAAGUGCCAUUGUUCUUGAACUUGUACGCUCACGCAGCGACGACCUACGCACCGGUACACGCGUCUACCGGUUCGUGUCCCUUUAUCAGUCAAGGGGAGGAGAAGAGAUUAGAUCGAUCGGAAGUUGAUUUCUCUAUGAUCUCUACGAUCAUGAUCGCGUAUCGAUGUCUUAACAAAAGAAGAUGAUUAUUUUUCAGCUAACGCAACGGAGAUGGAGUAGAAUGGUAAUUUAAGUGAACUUUUAUUUUUUCAUUUUUUUUUUUUCUCUUUGCUUUUUUUCUUUCUAAAUAUGUAGAACGUCCUUGAUAAGUCCUUGCGGUAUGGAACGUUGCGAACUAACGAAGGACUCCGCUGAUCGUUUCGCUUCGGUUCCCGGCAAGGAAAAAUGAUCGUAUUUGUUGUAGAUCGGCAAUUGGCCAAUUCACGGCGGCGCGGUGUGUCGAAUGUCCCCCAAUGAUAUCGUCUAUUUUUGCCCGGCACUCGCAGAACGUAACGGCGGCGUAGCUACGGCCUAAUUAUAAAAUGUUGCAACAACAGACAGUGCAACGAACCCACGAAUGUGCCGUGCCAUGACUCUACCGGUGAACAGUACGAUUGUUAUGAAACAUCUUUCGAACGUGUUUCGCCAAAGGGUUACGGUUGCUGAAAAAAAAAAAAAAAAAAAAAGGAGGGUAAUCGAAGGGUAAUUAAAUAUAAGAUAACGCGCCAGUCGAAUUGUAAAACGAUGUCAAGUUUGAUCAUUCAAGGAAACGGCGUUAAUCCUUUCGUCGAUUUCGUGCCGUCCCCGUAAUUCUUCUAACUUGUGCUUUCACUUGCACGCUUAGCUAACACGCGAGAGGACAUCAACGACGAUAGAGUAACAACCAUCCAGUUGAUUCGCAACGAUUUUUAUUCGAAUCGGUCCGUAAAUGUAAGGUAGCCAAGGUGGAUAUGGUCGCGGAUAGCAAAUCGAACGAGCAUAUUUUACGCGAUACCGUGGCGCAACGUGUGGCGGUUACAAGGGAACGACGUUAUAUAAAAUCGGAGCGCAAAAAUCUUACUUAAACGCUUAGAAAAACCUGGUUCUAGAGUUGCUGAGAGCACUCGAGGAUACCUAGUUAUCUACGCUACCGAGGAAUUGGGCACCGACCUGGACGAUUGGUCACGAUCGUUCCUUUCGUUCGCCUUUUUUCUCAAAAUCACCGCUUCUUUUUUUCCCCUUUGCCGAGUGAUUUCGUUGAUGCAAUAUCGAGUUACUUACGCAUCAUGCUUCGACGAUAUAAAAUAUUCUAUGUACAAUAGGAACACCCGUAUCCGCGGUAAAUAUAUUAUUACAUCGUGGUGUCGUCGAUUCGUGUCAGAAUUUCUUAAAUAAUUAAUUCGGUCACGAAAGGGUUAACAGAAGGGACCUACUACUCUACUGAGGAGUCGUGAAACGAUUUCUGACACGGGUAUACACGAUGUUGAGCUCAUUAAUUCGCCGAAGGGCGAAGCGAGAUCGCUAGAGGAACAGACGAAGAAAGAUAGAAGUUUCUUUUUCGUACAAGUUGCGCCACGAUUAUACAGUUAAACGUUAGUCUAACGGUCGUGCUUAGAAUUUCGGGCAUUUCGAGACGGCGAAUAGGACACACACGCGAGACCCGAUGACGAAGACCUACACCUUGACAUUCGACCGGACGAGCAGAGAAAAUUGUGUCAAACUCGCACCACUCGUGACUUCCUCGACCUAAAUCCAACGAUGCGCAUUAAUAGUAUCCGAAGGAGGAAGAAAAGAGCAAACGAUAGUUCAUACCCAUUGGCGUAGUUAAAAUUUUGUCCAGGAUGAGCCAGAUAGAAAAAAAUAAUUAAUUAAAUUGCAUAUUGCAUUUUCAUUUAAAUAUCUAUUUCUAGUUUAAUCAUUUUUGGCAAAAGGACCAGGCUCAUCCUGUACUCCACCUAAUUAGAUAUUCUUUUUCUCGUUUUUCGCGGAACCACGUUUUUUCUUUUUUCUUUUUUUUCUUUUUUUUUCGUGUGUUACGAGAUAUAUUUACGGCAUUACAUACCGUUUAUCUGGGACUCACUUUUACUCGAGCACGAAACACAAGGCUUCGAAACGGGAACACGGACACGUAAGGAUUCUGGCUCGACCAGCCACCGAGAAAAGAAUCUUCUCCUUCUAUCCGAUUUCUUGAGACCAAUUAAAGUAAUAGGAUGCGUGAACCGUCGUUGAAAAUUUAUGGUUUAUAAUCUUGAUUUUGAUUUUGACACGCUUGGUUCAGGGAUUUAAACAAAUUAAGUCGAACGGUUUGAAAAUAACUCGUUUAUUCUUGCAUUUUCUGAUAUUAUACAUUAUUAUAAAUCUUAGGAUAUUUAAAUCGAUGAUUGAUUUCUUAACACAGUGUUCUUUGAUUGAUUAAUCGAACACCUUUCGAAACGUACAAGCAAGAAAGAUAAAUGGGUCAAAUAACGAAGAAACACGUUGUUCCUUUUUUAACGCAACAUUAUCAUGCUUGAAAUUUUCAUUUAUACAAAUUCAACAAUUUUUGCAUAUUUUACGGAACAUAAAAUAAAAAGAACAGGAUAGGGUAUUUAGCAACGUCGAACUUGCAAAACUUCACUUCGCUAAUCUUUUAGCAAAAACUCAAAAUCUAGUAUACUUAAUAAAGGAAAUAAAUUAAGGCGUUUACGCAAUAUCAGCGUAUACAUCGAAAGGCUGGAUAAUCAAUGACUCAGCUGAGAAAAAGGAAGAAAGAAAAAAAAAAAGAAGGAAUUCGAUUGCGAUUAUUGAGAAAGGCGAAUCGUUCACUUCGAAAAAAAAAAAAAAAAAAAAAUGCUUUUCGCGAAAUUUUCAAACGGA